RNAcentral lists this ribosomal RNA (468 nucleotides) under uncultured bacterium. RNAcentral describes it as "partial 16S ribosomal RNA". It matches the Rfam family "Bacterial small subunit ribosomal RNA", at positions 28 to 507 of the family's 1533-position model. The record is from RNAcentral.
GACGAACGCUGGCGGCGUGCUUAACACAUGCAAGUCGAACGGAAAGGCCCUGCUUUUGUGGGGUGCUCGAGUGGCGAACGGGUGAGUAACACGUGAGUAACCUGCCCUUGACUUUGGUAUAACUUCAGGAAACUGGGGCUAAUACCGGAUAGGAGCUCCUGCUGCAUGGUGGGGGUUGGAAAGUUUCGGCGGUUGGGGAUGGACUCGCGGCUUAUCAGCUUGUUGGUGGGGUAGUGGCUUACCAAGGCUUUGACGGGUAGCCGGCCUGAGAGGGUGACCGGCCACAUGGGGAAUAAGAUACGGCCCAGACUCCAACGGGGGGCAGCGGUGGGGAAUAUGGCACAGUGGGCGGAAGCCUGAUGCGGCAACGCCGGGUGCGGGAUGACGGCCUUCGGGUUGUAAACCGCUUUCGCCUGUGACGAAGCGUGAGUGACGGUAAUGGGUAAAGAAGCACCGGCUAACUACGUG